CCCCUGGAGUGUCACCAGCUCCGCACCGAGGGCUCCUUGUGGCACCCAGAGGAAAUUUGGGGGGCUCCGAGUGGCAGCGGGACCGGCGCAGCCCUCGCGAGGGUCCCGAGUGCCACCACGUCCUCGUGUCACCAAGAGGAACGGGGUGGGGGGCUUCGAGCAAGAGCCCCUCGGGUGCCACCAGCUCCUCGGGUGCCACCAGCUCCUGGAGUGCCACCAUCUCCUCGGGUGCCACCAGCUCCUGGAGUGCCACCAUCUCCUCGAGUGCCACCAGCUCCUUGAGUGAGUGCCACCAUCUCCUUGAGUGCCACCAUCUCCUUGAGCGAGGGCCACCAGCUCCUUGAGCGAGUGCCACCAGCUCCUGGAGUGCCACCAUCUCCUUGAGUGCCACCAUCUCCUUGAGUGAGUGCCACCAGCUCCUGGAGUGCCACCAUCUCCUUGAGCGAGUGCCACCAUCUCCUCGGGUGCCACCAGCUCCUUGAGUGCCACCGUCUCCUUGAGCGAGGGCCACCACCUCCUUGAGCGAGGGCCACCACCUCCUUGAGCGAGUGCCACCACCUCCUUGAGCGAGUGCCACCAUCUCCUUGAGUGAGUGCCACCAUCUCCUCGGGUGCCACCAUCUCCUUGAGUGCCACCAGCUCCUGGAGUGAGUGCCACCAGCUCCUGGAGUGCCACCAGCUCCUUGAGCGAGUGCCACCAUCUUGGGUGCCACCAUCUCCUUGACUCCUGGAGUGCCACCAUCUCCUCGGGUGCCACCAUCUCCUGGAGUGCCACCAUCUCCUGGAGUGCCACCAUCUCCUCGGGUGUCACCAUCUCCUUGAGUGCCACCAGCUCCUGGAGUGCCACCAGCUCCUGGAGUGAGUGCCACCAUCUCCUCGAGUGCCACCAUCUCCUGGAGUGCCACCAUCUCCUCGGGGGCCACCAUCUCCUGGAGUGCCACCAGCUCCUGGAGUGCCACCAAGAGCCCCCCGAGUGUCACCAGGACCGGCUCAGCCCCCCUGUGCGGGUCCCUGGUGUCACCGGGGUCUCUCUCUGUGUCACACGCCGCCCUCGGGCGUCCACCGGGACCCCCCCCGAGCACCGGGACCCCCAAAUUCCACCGUCCUCGUGCACCGGGACCCCCCCUCAGGCAUCAGGACCCCCGAGUUUCCUCGCCCCCCUCCUCGGGCACC
Molecule: long non-coding RNA, 1172 nt
Filed under: Lonchura striata (white-rumped munia)
Lineage: Eukaryota; Metazoa; Chordata; Aves; Passeriformes; Estrildidae
Description: domestica (Bengalese finch) lncRNA (ENSLSDG00000006918.1)
Source: RNAcentral